GCCCGCCCUCUGCCGUCAAAUCAUUCAGCAGUCGGAAUGGGGGGAAGACAAAGGAUAAACAGAAUCCGUGAGGAGAUGAGGAAUCAGUUCCACAAUGUCAAGGAGUCCAGCAAACAUAAAUUUGUCUUCAACUUUCGGGCAACAAAGAAGAUGAAAAAAAAGUCUUGCUGAAUGUGAACAAGCUUUGGCGGAACAUUUUCAUUCUGAGCGUAUGCAUAUCACAAGGGAUAAAUCUGAAGAACCUGGACUGUGGAAAACAGAGUACCAUUGCACGACACAUCACUCGAGGAGCCGAAUAUCAAUGCAUUACUACAGCACCAGCAAAUAUGCAGUAACUAAUAACUCCACAAAUGAGUGAAUCACCACCAUGGGAGCACUGAAAAAAGCCCAGAAAUAACAUCUCUAUUAGGUGACCGUGUAUUGAGGAGGGCAAGGCGAUGUUGAAGGAGGAAUGCUUGACAAUUGUCAGUAGGCUGGAUUCAAUAUGUUGGAGAACCAAUAAGGUAUCACCAAUGUUGUAUCCAUUGUCUACAAUAUGAUGGACAAACAUAUUGGAAGGAUGGAGAAAUGUCAACUGAUGGAAACCUCAUUGUUCCAAAAGAUGAACAACAUGGAAGAGAGGAAUUGGUUCAAUUUGCUUUAUCUCACGUUGGGAAGUCGAAGCUCAAAUAAACCCUGUAAUUCACAAUUGGACAAUUUUGAAGAGAGAUCGCAAUCAACUAUGUGGAAAAGCAUUUUUGACCUUAUGGAUCUACAGUGGUUAUUUUAAUUAAUGGACAAUUAUGGAAUUUCAGGGACACUCUUAAAAAAAUUAAUGGCUAGGACCAAAAUAUCAGAUAAAAAAAUAACACUUCAGAGCUGUUUACCUAUCUUGUGUUAUGAACAGGGAAAUCAGAUUCUUGUUGGAAUGUGCCAUUAACAUAUACAUUUCUCAGUUGCCAUGUUAUAUUUUCUAUAUUGUACCCUCUUCCCAUUUGUGUGUACUGAACCUUCACUUUAGUAAAUAAACAAGUGUAACAGCAAUAUUAUUUAACCUUUGUGGUUGAGUAAACUCUUACUCUACUUAAUAAAAUAAGAUGUUUGUUCUUUUGUUUUAAAAAUAAAG
Molecule: long non-coding RNA, 1105 nt
Organism: Callorhinchus milii (elephant shark)
Lineage: Eukaryota; Metazoa; Chordata; Chondrichthyes; Chimaeriformes; Callorhinchidae
Exons: 3
Source: RefSeq, a predicted model, not a curated record